This 460-nucleotide ribosomal RNA is filed under the name uncultured bacterium. Its description in RNAcentral is "partial 16S ribosomal RNA". It matches the Rfam family "Bacterial small subunit ribosomal RNA", at positions 338 to 795 of the family's 1533-position model. The record is from RNAcentral.
CCUACGGGGGGCAGCAGUGAGGAAUAUUGGUCAAUGGGCGCGAGCCUGAACCAGCCAAGUAGCGUGAAGGAUGACUGCCCUACGGGUUGUAAACUUCUUUUAUAAAGGAAUAAAGUGAGGCACGUGUGGCCAGACGAGAGUACCGUACGAAUAAGCAUCGGCUAACUCCGUGCCAGCAGCCGCGGUAAUACGGGGGGUGCGAGCGUUAAUCGGAAUUACUGGGCGUAAAGCGCUCGUAGGCGGUAUGUCAAGUCAAGGGUGAAAUCCCCGCGCUCAACGUGGGAACUGCCUUUGAAACUGGCAAACUGGAGUGUGUGAGAGGAUAGUGGAAUUCCAGGUGUAGGAGUGAAAUCCGUAGAUAUCUGGAGGAACAUCAGUGGCGAAGGCGACUAUCUGGCACAUAACUGACGCUGAGGAGCGAAAGCGUGGGUAGCAAACAGGAUUAGAUACCCGAGUAGUC